RNAcentral lists this ribosomal RNA (468 nucleotides) under uncultured bacterium. RNAcentral describes it as "partial 16S ribosomal RNA". It matches the Rfam family "Bacterial small subunit ribosomal RNA", at positions 28 to 507 of the family's 1533-position model. The record is from RNAcentral.
GACGAACGCUGGCGGCGUGCUUAACACAUGCAAGUCGAACGGAAAGGCCCUGCUUUUGUGGGGUGCUCGAGUGGCGAGCGGGUGAGUAACACGUGAGUAACCUGCCCUUGACUGUGGGAUAACUUCAGGAAACUGGGGCUAAUACCGGAUAGGAGCUCCUGCUGCACGGUGGGGGUUGGAAAGUUUCGGCGGUUGGGGAUGGACUCGCGGCUUAUCAGCUUGUUGGUGGGGUAGUGGCUUACCAAGGCUUUGACGGGUAGCCGGCCUGGGAGGGUGACCGGCCACCUUGGGACUGAGGUACGGCGCAGUAUCCUACGGGAGGCAGCAGUGGGGAAUAUUGCACAAUGGGCGGAAGCGUGAUGCAGCAACGCCGCGUGCGGGAUGACGGCCUUCGGGUUGUAAACCGCUUUCGCCUGUGACGAGGCGUGAGUGACGGUAAUGGGUAAAGAAGCACCGGCUAACUACGUG